UAGGGAAUAUUGGACAAUGGGCGAAAGCCUGAUCCAGCCAUGCCGCGUGAGUGAUGAAGGCCUUAGGGUUGUAAAGCUCUUUCAGCGGGGAAGAUAAUGACGGUACCCGCAGAAGAAGCCCCGGCUAACUUCGUGCCAGCAGCCGCGGUAAUACGAAGGGGGCUAGCGUUGCUCGGAAUCACUGGGCGUAAAGCGCACGUAGGCGGCUUUCUAAGUCAGGGGUGAAAUCCUGGAGCUCAACUCCAGAACUGCCUUUGAUACUGGAAAGCUUGAGUUCGGGAGAGGUGAGUGGAACUGCGAGUGUAGAAGUGAAAUUCGUAGAUAUUCGCAAGAACACCAGUGGCGAAGGCGGCUCACUGGCCCGAUACUGACGCUGAGGUGCGAAAGCGUGGGGAGCAAACA
RNAcentral lists this ribosomal RNA (402 nucleotides) under uncultured bacterium. RNAcentral's name for it is "bacterial SSU rRNA". It matches the Rfam family "Bacterial small subunit ribosomal RNA", at positions 355 to 774 of the family's 1533-position model. The record is from RNAcentral.